GUGGCUUCGGACUAGAAACCCAGAAAGGGUAGAGGAAAAGACUGCACGGAAGGGUAGCCCGAAGGCGGGCGACAGAGGUGGCUUUCUGGCUGGGGAUUCUGGGUGCUCCCCCAAGGCAGACAGUGGGGAAGAGGAGAAGGGUAGACCACAUACUCCAUGGUGACCACGUCCGAUCCCAGCAGCCUGCAGGGCAGCAUCCAGGCGACGCACAGAAAAGCACUGCUGAGGAUGAACCAAGGUUCCUUUUGCCCGAGGCCAGUUACAGCUGCAGAGAUGGUGGCUAGGUUACAAGAAGUUCUAGAGUGCACUGGGGCUGAGCCUGGGGCUGCACAAGGUCUCUGGAAGUGAAGCUGCAUGAACCACGGUUCCGAGUAAGGAGAUCCGUCCCAAGGAGUUGGCUCACAUGGUCGCGGAGAAAUCCCACCAUCUGUUGCAAGCUGCAGACCCAAGAAAGCCUGUGGUGUGGCUCCCGGCCCGCUCCGGUGGCUCAGGAACCAGGACCUGGAUGGUGUAAGUUCCCGUCCAAGGAAUGGGAGCAGGCUGUCGCCCUACUCAUCUACAGAUGCGGAUGCGAAUCUCACCCCAAAUAUCCAGGCAGCCGUAGCCAAUCAAGGUGAGGCGUGUAACUAAGCAUCGCAGAAGGGCUCCCUUUGGAAAUAGCCUCUGGGAGGACAGUGGGCUGGGGAGAGAUAGGCGAAAGCCUCUUAGGGGAGACAAAGUACUUCUGAGGUGUUUGACUAGCACCGCCAUUAUCAGACACCUCAUGUGGGGUGGUGUAAACAUCAUAAAUCAGCCAGGCGUGGUGGCGCACGCCUGUCAUCCCAGCACUCAGGAGGCUGAGGCAGGAGGAUCGUUGUGAGUUCGAGACCGGCCUGGGCUACAUAGUGAGUUCCAGGUCAGUCUCAACUACAUAGUGAGACCCUGUCUCAAAAAAACCAAAAAAACAAAUCUAUUUUCUCCAGGUCCUCAGGCUGCAAGUCCCAGACCCAGGUACCGGCAAGUUCAGUUUCUGCUGAAGGCUUCCCUCUUGGUGUGUGGGUGGCCACCCUCUGGCUAUGCUGUCACCCGGCCUGUCCUCAUCACACAUGCUGAGGUGACACAGAAGGCGGAGGCCUGCAGAGCACUCCCUGGUAUCUUUUCCUCUGCUUACAAGGUCACUAAUUUUAUGGGGUGGGAGGCUCAGCCUUAUGACUUUAUCUAACCUUGCCGGCUGGGGGUUAGGGCUUCAGAGUGUGAAUUGUGCACCCA
RNAcentral lists this long non-coding RNA (1248 nucleotides) under Fukomys damarensis (Damara mole-rat). RNAcentral describes it as "lncRNA (ENSFDAG00000031594.1)". The record is from RNAcentral. Lineage: Eukaryota; Metazoa; Chordata; Mammalia; Rodentia; Bathyergidae.